RNAcentral lists this ribosomal RNA (420 nucleotides) under uncultured Nitrososphaerota archaeon. Its description in RNAcentral is "bacterial SSU rRNA". It matches the Rfam family "Archaeal small subunit ribosomal RNA", at positions 459 to 879 of the family's 1478-position model. Lineage: Archaea; Thermoproteati; Nitrososphaerota. The record is from RNAcentral.
CAGCCGCCGCGGUAAAACCAGCACCUCAAGUGGUCAGGAUGAUUAUUGGGCCUAAAGCAUCCGUAGCCGGCUCUGUAAGUUUUCGGUUAAAUCUGUACGCUCAACGUACAGGCUGCCGGGAAUACUGCAGAGCUAGGGAGUGGGAGAGGUAGACGGUACUCGGUAGGAAGGGGUAAAAUCCUUUGAUCUAUUGAUGACCACCUGUGGCGAAAGCGGUCUACCAGAACACGUCCGACGGUGAGGGAUGAAAGCUGGGGGAGCAAACCGGAUUAGAUACCCGGGUAGUCCCAGCUGUAAACUAUGCAAACUCAGUGAUGCAUUGGCUUGUGGCCAAUGCAGUGCUGCAGGGAAGCCGUUAAGUUUGCCGCCUGGGAAGUACGUACGCAAGUAUGAAACUUAAAGGAAUUGGCGGGGGAGCAC